RNAcentral lists this transfer RNA (76 nucleotides) under Acidobacteriota bacterium. Its description in RNAcentral is "Acidobacteria bacterium tRNA-Glu". It matches the Rfam family "tRNA". From Rfam's summary of the family: Transfer RNA (tRNA) molecules are approximately 80 nucleotides in length. RNAcentral also lists the same sequence under 1 other name. Lineage: Bacteria; Pseudomonadati; Acidobacteriota. The record is from RNAcentral.
GGCCCUAUCGUCUAGGGGUCUAGGACGGAGCCCUCUCAAGGCUUAAACACGGGUUCGAAUCCCGUUAGGGCCGCCA